RNAcentral lists this ribosomal RNA (519 nucleotides) under uncultured bacterium. Its description in RNAcentral is "partial 16S ribosomal RNA". It matches the Rfam family "Bacterial small subunit ribosomal RNA", at positions 28 to 507 of the family's 1533-position model. The record is from RNAcentral.
GACGAACGCUGGCGGCGUGCCUAAUACAUGCAAGUCGAGCGAGUCUGCCUUGAAGAUCGGAGUGCUUGCACCCUGUGAAACAAGAUACAGGCUAGCGGCGGACGGGUGAGUAACACGUGGGUAACCUGCCCAAGAGAUCGGGAUAACACCUGGAAACAGAUGCUAAUACCGGAUAACAACAGAUGAUGCCUAUCAACUGUUUAAAAGAUGGUUCUGCUAUCACUCUUGGAUGGACCUGCGGUGCAUUAGCUAGUUGGUAGGGUAACGGCCUACCAAGGCGAUGAUGCAUAGCCGAGUUGAGAGACUGAUCGGCCACAUUGGGACUGAGACACGGCCCAAACUCCUACGGGAGGCAGCAGUAGGGAAUCUUCCACAAUGGACGCAAGUCUGAUGGAGCAACGCCGCGUGAGUGAAGAAGGGUUUCGGCUCGUAAAGCUCUGUUGUUGGUGAAGAAGGACAGGGGUAGUAACUGACCUUUGUUUGACGGUAAUCAAUGAGAAAGUCACGGCUAACUACGUG